AUCUAUAGAAAAAUUGGCUAGUAAGUGCAACAUCAUCCCACUUAAUAUCAGUUGUAAGUUGUCAAAAUUGUGAAGCAUACAAUAUUAUUGAUCGAUUGUCUUAUCAUAAAAUAUGGAUCUUAUUGGUUGCAACACGAAUUGCAUCAUGUUUUCCAUACAUGGAUCGAAACUCUACCAAAAAAGCCUCUAGAUUAUCCAAUAUUGGAUC
RNAcentral lists this long non-coding RNA (208 nucleotides) under Physcomitrium patens. Its description in RNAcentral is "long non-coding RNA (PPAT_LNC011735)". Lineage: Eukaryota; Viridiplantae; Streptophyta; Bryopsida; Funariales; Funariaceae. The record is from RNAcentral.